Molecule: ribosomal RNA, 450 nt
Filed under: uncultured bacterium
Lineage: Bacteria
Description: partial 16S ribosomal RNA
Rfam family: Bacterial small subunit ribosomal RNA
Source: RNAcentral
GUGGGGAAUCUUCCGCAAUGGACGAAAGUCUGACGGAGCAACGCCGCGUGAGUGAUGAAGGUCUUCGGAUUGUAAAGCUCUGUUAAUCGGGACGAAAGAGCCUAGUGUGAAUAAUGCUAGGAAGUGACGGUACCGGAAUAGAAAGCCACGGCUAACUACGUGCCAGCAGCCGCGGUAAUACGUAGGUGGCAAGCGUUGUCCGGAAUUAUUGGGCGUAAAGCGCGCGCAGGCGGAUCUGCCAGUCUGUCUUAAAAGUUCGGGGCUUAACCCCGUGAUGGGAUGGAAACUACAGAUCUAGAGUAUCGGAGAGGAAAGUGGAAUUCUUAGUGUAGCGGUGAAAUGCGUAGAUAUUAGGAAGAACACCAGUGGCGAAGGCGACUUUCUGGACGAAAACUGACGCUGAGGCACGAAAGCCAGGGGAGCGAACGGGAUUAGAUACCCGAGUAGUCC